RNAcentral lists this signal recognition particle RNA (96 nucleotides) under Gammaproteobacteria bacterium. RNAcentral describes it as "signal recognition particle sRNA small type". It matches the Rfam family "Bacterial small signal recognition particle RNA". From Rfam's summary of the family: The signal recognition particle (SRP) is a universally conserved ribonucleoprotein involved in the co-translational targeting of proteins to membranes. Archaeal SRP consists of a 7S RNA and homologues of the eukaryotic SRP19 and SRP54 proteins. Lineage: Bacteria; Pseudomonadati; Pseudomonadota; Gammaproteobacteria. The record is from RNAcentral.
AACCGGUUCCUUCGCGACGUGAAUCUGUGAACUCCGCCAGGCCCGGAAGGGAGCAACGGUAGCAGGCUAGCGGGCGCCGAAGUGCGGCUGGUUUGG